CUUGCAGCUGCGCUGGCUCCUGCACCUGCAAAGCCUGCAGAUGCACCUCCUGCAAGAAGAGCUGCUGCUCCUGCUGCCCCGUGGGCUGCGCCAAGUGUGCCCAGGGCUGCGUCUGCAAAGGGGCCUCGGACAAGUGCAGCUGCUGUGCCUGAUGUCGCGGAGAGCCUGCCCCGGGUGGCAACAGAGCAACCAGGACGAACCUGCAUUUUACCGUUUUUCAUACAGCCGGACCUGACGCUACAUUCCUUUUUCUAUGAAAUAUGUGAGCUGUAAUAAAAGUUGUUGACUUCA
This is a long non-coding RNA of Balaenoptera acutorostrata (minke whale), 291 nucleotides long. RefSeq lists it as uncharacterized. The record is from RefSeq and is a predicted model, not a curated record. NCBI's taxonomy places the organism in Eukaryota, Metazoa, Chordata, Mammalia, Artiodactyla, Balaenopteridae. The transcript has 2 exons.